RNAcentral lists this unclassified non-coding RNA (240 nucleotides) under soil metagenome. RNAcentral's name for it is "partial contains 5.8S ribosomal RNA, internal transcribed spacer 2, and large subunit ribosomal RNA". The record is from RNAcentral.
AAGACUAUAGACCUGCGGAGUACCUGCGGAGGGAUCAUUACAAGUAAUAAGUACCCAGUACCUAUUAUAAACCCAUCCGUGUAUCUUACCCGUUGCUUCCGUGGCGCGGCGCACCGCCCUGGCGGGGCUCCCCCACGGGAGGUACACACCAAAAACAUUGCAUUGCCAUGAUAUCUGUCUGAAAUGAAAACAACAAAAGUUAAAACUUUCAGCAAUGGAUCUCUAGAUCGGAAGAGCACA